This is a small nucleolar RNA of Corvus moneduloides (New Caledonian crow), 81 nucleotides long. Lineage: Eukaryota; Metazoa; Chordata; Aves; Passeriformes; Corvidae. The record is from Ensembl.
CGGAUACAGUGAUGAUGGCAUAGUUCAGCAGAAUAUCCUGUGAUGAACACUUCUAUCCUUCGCCCCUAUCUGAUGUAUCUG